UAGGGAAUAUUAGAAAUGGGCGAAAGUCUGAUCUAGCGACACCGCGUGUGCGAUGAAGGCCUUCGGGUUGUAAAGCACUUUUUGGAAGGAAUAGGAAGGAAGGUACUUCCAGAAUAAGUCUCGGCUAACUACGUGCCAGCAGCCGCGGUAACACGUAGGAGGCAAACGUUAUCCGGAUUUAAUGGGCGUAAAGCGCGUGUAGGUGGUUCUGUAAGUAGGGCGUGAAAGCUCCCGGCUCAACUGGGAGAGGCCGUUCUAAACUGCAGAGCUAGAGGAUGGUAGAGGGGGGUGGAAUUCCAGGUGUAGCGGUGGAAUGCGCAGAUAUCUGGAGGAACACCAGUGGCGAAAGCGGCCUCCUGGACCAUUCCUGACGCUCAGACGCGAAAGCUAGGGUAGCAAAC
RNAcentral lists this ribosomal RNA (401 nucleotides) under uncultured bacterium. Its description in RNAcentral is "bacterial SSU rRNA". It matches the Rfam family "Bacterial small subunit ribosomal RNA", at positions 355 to 773 of the family's 1533-position model. The record is from RNAcentral.